Molecule: microRNA precursor, 80 nt
Filed under: Microtus ochrogaster (prairie vole)
Lineage: Eukaryota; Metazoa; Chordata; Mammalia; Rodentia; Cricetidae
Description: miRNA (ENSMOCG00000010405.1)
Source: RNAcentral
CGCCUUGCAGUCUUAAGGAGAGCCCCAUGCCUUUGGACAUGCUGUUCCUUCUGCCUGGGAUUUCCUUGUCUGCCUGGUGA